GUGGGAUACGGAGACAUGUGCCCCAUCACAAUGGGAGGCAAAAUGGUCGGCACCCUCUGUGCCAUUGCUGGUGUCCUGACCAUUGCCUUGCCCGUCCCUGUCAUCGUCUCCAAC
This is a non-coding RNA of Larimichthys crocea (large yellow croaker), 114 nucleotides long. The record is from Rfam. Lineage: Eukaryota; Metazoa; Chordata; Actinopteri; Sciaenidae.